Molecule: ribosomal RNA, 450 nt
Filed under: uncultured bacterium
Lineage: Bacteria
Description: partial 16S ribosomal RNA
Rfam family: Bacterial small subunit ribosomal RNA
Source: RNAcentral
GUGGGGAAUAUUGGACAAUGGGCGAAAGCCUGAUCCAGCCAUGCCGCGUGUGUGAAGAAGGUCUUCGGAUUGUAAAGCACUUUAAGUUGGGAGGAAGGGCAGUAAGUUAAUACCUUGCUGUUUUGACGUUACCGACAGAAUAAGCACCGGCUAACUUCGUGCCAGCAGCCGCGGUAAUACGAAGGGUGCAAGCGUUAAUCGGAAUUACUGGGCGUAAAGCGCGCGUAGGUGGUUUUGUAAGUUGGAGGUGAAAUCCCCGGGCUAAACCUGGGAACUGCCUCCAAAACUGCAUGACUAGAGUACGGUAGAGGGUAGUGGAAUUUCCUGUGUAGCGGUGAAAUGCGUAGAUAUAGGAAGGAACACCAGUGGCGAAGGCGACUACCUGGACUGAUACUGACACUGAGGUGCGAAAGCGUGGGGAGCAAACAGGAUUAGAAACCCGUGUAGUCC